Molecule: transfer RNA, 74 nt
Filed under: Deltaproteobacteria bacterium CG_4_10_14_0_2_um_filter_43_8
Lineage: Bacteria; Deltaproteobacteria
Also listed under: 2 other names
Description: tRNA-Trp
Rfam family: tRNA
About the family: Transfer RNA (tRNA) molecules are approximately 80 nucleotides in length. Their secondary structure includes four short double-helical elements and three loops (D, anti-codon, and T loops).
Source: RNAcentral
AGGGGAGUAGCUCAGCUAGGUAGAGCACCGGUCUCCAAAACCGGGGGUCGCAGGUUCGAUCCCUGUCUCCCCUG